Long non-coding RNA from Esox lucius (northern pike), 1196 nucleotides. NCBI's taxonomy places the organism in Eukaryota, Metazoa, Chordata, Actinopteri, Esociformes, Esocidae. The record is from Ensembl.
CAAGAACGCCCAAAAUACCCGGCUGGGUAAUUGAUCCGCCUCUUUUAUCGAAGAUGCAUAGGUGGUACUGAAAGAUUCCAGUCCUGUGGAGCUGUUUCAUCACAGCUGCACAUGUGUUGCUGAAGGAGCAUUAUGCAACCACUGUGUUGCUUUGCUGUUCCAGUCAGCACAUUACUCUCAGCUGAAGGUGCCAGUGGUCCCUCCUGUGCUAGGCUGUACUGAAGGAGAACAGCAGUGGCACAAGCCCAGAACUUUGGAGCACGCUCUACAAAGGCCUCAGUGGGGAUUUGGGUGACAGAGGUGUAUAAAAAUGUCUCAACAGCUGAGUCGCCGAUGAUCUGCAGCAUGGGCAUCAGCUGUGAAACUCCCCUGGUUGACUCUGACCUUGGCAAAGUUCAAGCCAUUGUCCUACCAACAACCAGCAACAGCAAAGGGACCUGUCCUUCCAUGCUGCCCCACCAAGUCCAUCUGUGCCUCUUCAGAAUUACCGCCUACAGCCAUCAAGUUGCAUGUUUGUCUGUGCUGAACCACAACAGCUACACCAUAGAAGUCUCACGUUUCAGGGAGAUCUGCCAGGUUCGAGAAAACUCUGAAGAAGGUCUGGCUAACCAGAUACUGCAAGGGACCCAUCAGACGGUAGCUAUGAAGAAGGGGCUCGAAUUAGAGGCAGAUGCUAUCUGGGACUAUUGCCAAAUGAAAAGGGUCAAGCACUACCUCUGUGGAUUCGUAAUUCACCUGAAGCUCCUUGGCUGGGGGCAUUUUCAGAUGGGUUAAUCAUUGACCCUUCAGAGGCAUGUCAGUUUGGGCUGAUUGAGAUGAAGUCACUGAAUGUUAAAAGCUAUGUGGAGUGCACAUAUCUCCAAACGAAUUCAGGCAAAUUGGAGCUAAAACAAACCCAUGCUUACUACUGGCAAGUACAGGGGCAGAUGCUAAUAACGGGAAUGAGUUGGUGUGAUUUUGUAGUCUCAGGUGAGGAAGAUGUACUCAUUCAAAUAAUUUACAGAAACAUUGAUGUUUUGGAUGUAAUCAGAGAGAAGGUAGUCAGGUUUUAUUUGUCUACUUGCAGAAAUGUCUAAUGCUUCCGCAUUUAUUACCAUUGUACUGAAGAGGAGGCAGACCUCUCUAGCACUACAGAUAAGAGAGAAUUUUUUGGGGGGGGGGGUGAACUGCCCCUUUAACAACUGUAAAGAACUGUA